This 459-nucleotide long non-coding RNA is filed under the name Olea europaea subsp. europaea. The record is from RNAcentral. Lineage: Eukaryota; Viridiplantae; Streptophyta; Magnoliopsida; Lamiales; Oleaceae.
CUGCAGGCUCUACUCUUGGUGGUGGCCUUCCAUCAAUUCCUUUAAGUUUCAGCCUUGUGAUCAUACUCCCCCUGAAAACCCAAAAACUUUGAUUUCUCAUAAGGUGCCAGCGGAGUCCUAUAAGCAACAUCCGUCGAUCCCUAGUCGACAUCGUUUAUGGUUGAGAUUAGGACCAUAUCUGAUCAUCUUCGAGCCCCCAACUUUCAUUUUUGAUUAAUGAAAACAUCCUUGGAAAAUGCUUUUGCAGUUGUUCAUCUUUCAUAAACCCAAGAAUUUCAUCACUGACUAUGAAAUAGGAUUGUCUCCAAUUUUACCUGUUAAUCAUUACUUCGAUCCCGAAGGCCAACGUAAUAGGACCGAAAUCCUAUAAUGUUAUCCAAUGCUAAAGUAUCCAGAGCAUAGGCUUACUUUGAGUACUCUAAUUUCUUCAAAGUAAUAGCACCGGAGGCACGACCCAAC